Long non-coding RNA from Scomber japonicus (chub mackerel), 268 nucleotides. RefSeq lists it as uncharacterized. The record is from RefSeq and is a predicted model, not a curated record. The transcript is spliced from 3 exons. NCBI's taxonomy places the organism in Eukaryota, Metazoa, Chordata, Actinopteri, Scombriformes, Scombridae.
CAGAGUGACAGCAACCUGACGAAGCUCUUUAUGAAACAGACCUGGUCCAGACAGCAGAGAGCUGCACAGAGAAAACCUUCAUAGGAAGAAGUUGAUGUUACUGGUUUACCUCUCAGACUCCAGAAGAUGAAGAAAGAGGAGGAAGAGGAGGACGGAGCAGAGUCUGUAAUAUCCAGCUGUCUGUCUAUGAAGAGUGACCGGUCCAGAUAUCGUCCUCCACUCUUCAGUAAUGAACCUGGACCCUCAGACACAAAUGUUACUGGUUUAC